This 245-nucleotide ribosomal RNA is filed under the name uncultured Pseudanabaena sp. Its description in RNAcentral is "partial 16S ribosomal RNA". It matches the Rfam family "Bacterial small subunit ribosomal RNA", at positions 439 to 700 of the family's 1533-position model. The record is from RNAcentral. Lineage: Bacteria; Bacillati; Cyanobacteriota; Cyanophyceae; Pseudanabaenales; Pseudanabaenaceae.
UUAGGGAAGAUAAUGACGGUACCUAACGAAUAAGCAUCGGCUAACUCCGUGCCAGCAGCCGCGGUAAGACGGAGGAUGCCAGCGUUAUCCGGAAUUAUUGGGCGUAAAGCGUACGUAGGCUGUUAGAUAAGUCUGUUGUCAAAGAGCGAGGCUCAACCUUGUAAAGGCAAUGGAAACUGUUUGACUAGAGAGAGAUAGGGGCAGGAGGAAUUCCAGGGGUAGCGGUGAAAUGCGCCUCAUAUCUG